GUAAAAAAGCUCGUAGUUGGAUUUCUGUUGAGGACGACCGGUCCGUACCAUGUACGCGCAUCUGGUUCGGCCUCGGCAUCCUCUCGAUAGACGUUUCUGCGCUUGAUUGCGUGGAGCGGAUUUCGGGACUUUUACUUUGAGGAAAUUAGAGUGUUCACGGCAGGCUAUCGCCAGAAUACAUUAGCAUGGAAUAAUACUAUAGGAUCUCGGUUCUAUUUUGUUGGUUUCUAGACCCGGGGUAAUGAUUAAUAGGGACAAUUGGGGGCAUUUGUAUCAACACGUCAGAGGUGGAAUUCUUGGAUUGUGUUGCGACAAACUACUGCGAAAGCAUUUGCCAAGGAUGUUUUCAUUGAUCAAGAACGAAAGUAAGGGGAUCGAAGACGAUUAGAUACCGUCGUAGUCUUUACCAUAAACUAUGCCGACUAGAGAUGGGGCAUCGUUCACUUACGACUUGCUCCGCAUCUUAUGAGAUAUCAAAGUCUUUGGGUUCCGGGGGGAGUAUGGUCGCAAGUCUGAAACUUAAAGGAAUUGACGGAAGGGCACCACCAGGAGUGGAGCCUGCGGCUUAAUUUGACUCAACACGGGGAAACUCACCAGGUCCAGACAUAAUAAGGAUUGACAGAUUGAUAGCUCUUUCUUGAUUUUAUGGGUGGUGGUGCAUGGCCGUUCUUAGUUCGUGGAGUGAUUUGUCUGCUUAAUUGCGUUAACGAACGAGACCUUAACCUGCUAAAUAGGAGCGCAUAUCUCCGGAUAAGCG
RNAcentral lists this ribosomal RNA (757 nucleotides) under uncultured eukaryote. Its description in RNAcentral is "SSU rRNA". It matches the Rfam family "Eukaryotic small subunit ribosomal RNA", at positions 618 to 1381 of the family's 1831-position model. The record is from RNAcentral.